RNAcentral lists this ribosomal RNA (364 nucleotides) under uncultured organism. RNAcentral's name for it is "bacterial SSU rRNA". It matches the Rfam family "Bacterial small subunit ribosomal RNA", at positions 526 to 896 of the family's 1533-position model. The record is from RNAcentral.
CGGAGGAUCCAAGCGUUAUCCGGAAUCAUGGGUUUAAAGGGUCCGUAGCGGGUUUAUAAGUCAGUGGUGAAAGCCCAUCGCUCAACGAUGGAACGGCCAUUGAUACUGUAGAUCUUGAAUUAUUAGGAAGUAACUAGAAUAUGUAGUGUAGCGGUGAAAUGCUUAGAGAUUACAUGGAAUACCAAUUGCGAAGGCAGGUUACUACUAAUGGAUUGACGCUGAUGGACGAAAGCGUGGGUAGCGAACAGGACUAGAUACCCUGGUAGUCCACGCCGUAAACGAUGGAUACUAGCUGUUCGGAGCAAUCUGAGUGGCUAAGCGAAAGUGAUAAGUAUCCCACCUGGGGAGUACGUUCGCAAGAAUG